UACGUAGGGGGCUAGCGUUGUCCGGAAUCAUUGGGCGUAAAGAGCGUGUAGGCGGCCCGGUAAGUCCGCUGUGAAAGUCGGGGGCUCAACCCUCGAAUGCCGGUGGAUACUGUCGGGCUAGAGUGCGGAAGAGGCGAGUGGAAUUCUUGGUGUAGCGGUGAAAUGCGCAGAUAUCAGGAGGAACACCAAUUGCGAAGGCAGCUCGCUGGGACGUAACUGACGCUGAGACGCGAAAGCGUGGGGAGCAAACAGG
RNAcentral lists this ribosomal RNA (253 nucleotides) under uncultured bacterium. RNAcentral describes it as "partial 16S ribosomal RNA". It matches the Rfam family "Bacterial small subunit ribosomal RNA", at positions 524 to 776 of the family's 1533-position model. The record is from RNAcentral.